This 464-nucleotide ribosomal RNA is filed under the name uncultured bacterium. RNAcentral describes it as "partial 16S ribosomal RNA". It matches the Rfam family "Bacterial small subunit ribosomal RNA", at positions 338 to 795 of the family's 1533-position model. The record is from RNAcentral.
CCUACGGGUGGCAGCAGUGAGGAAUAUUGGUCAAUGGGCGCAAGCCUGAACGAGCAAUGCAGCGUGAACGAGGAAGGUCUUCGGAUUGUAAAGUUCUGUUGAAGGGGAAAAAGAGUGGAGAGAGGAAAUGGUCUCCGAUUGAUAUUACCAUUCGAGGAAGUCACGGCUAACUACGUGCCAGCAGCCGCGGUAAUGCGUAGGUGGCGAGCUUUAUCCGGAAUGAUUGGGAGUAAAGGGUGCGUAGGCGGCCGGUUAGGUCUGGAAUGAAAGUUACCGGCUCAACCGGUACAGGCUCUGGAAACUGGCAGGCUAGAGUGCAGGAGAGGGCGGCGGAACUCGAUGUGUAGCGGUGAAAUGCGUAGAUAUAUGGAAGAACACCAGUGGCGAAGGCAGUCGCCUGGCCUGUUACUGACGCUGAGGCACGAAAGCGUGGGGAGCAAAUAGGAUUAGAUACCCUUGUAGUC